This 900-nucleotide ribosomal RNA is filed under the name uncultured archaeon. Its description in RNAcentral is "bacterial SSU rRNA". It matches the Rfam family "Archaeal small subunit ribosomal RNA", at positions 1 to 878 of the family's 1478-position model. The record is from RNAcentral.
CUCCGGUUGAUCCUGCCGGACCUGACUGCUAUCGGAUUGGUACUAAGCCAUGCGAGUCAUUGUAGCAAUACAAGGCGGACGGCUCAGUAACACGUAGUCAACCUAACUCGUGGACGUGGAUAACCUCGGGAAACUGAGAAUAAACCACGAUAGAUCAUAGUGCCUGGAAUGGCUUAUGGUCCAAACAGUUUACUGCCAUGGGAUGGGACUGCGGCCUAUCAGCUUGUUGGUGAGGUAAUGGCCCACCAAGGCGAUUACAGGUACGGGCUCUGAGAGGAGAAGCCCGGAGAUGGGUACUGAGACACGGACCCAGGCCCUAUGGGGCGCAGCAGGCGAGAAACCUUAGCAAUGUGCGAAAGCACGACUGGGUCAGUCCGAGUGAUUCCUGAUAAAGGAGUCUUUUGCUUGUCCUAAAAGCACAGGUGAAUAAGGGGUGGGCAAGUCUGGUGUCAGCCGCCGCGGUAAUACCAGCACCUCGAGUGGUCAGGACGUUUAUUGGGCCUAAAGCAUCCGUAGCCGGCUCUGCAAGUCUUCGGUUAAAUCCACCUGCUCAACAGAUGGGCUGCUGGAGAUACUACAGAGCUAGGGAGUGGGAGAGGCAGACGGUAUUCAGUGGGUAGGGGUAAAAUCCUCUGAUCCAUUGAGGACCACCAGUGGCGAAGGCGGUCCGCCAGAACGCGCUCGACGGUGAGGGAUGAAAGCUGGGGGAGCGAACCGGAUUAGAUACCCGGGUAGUCCCAGCCGUAAACGAUGCUAGCUAGAUGAUUCAUUCGCAAGUCGCGAAUGAAGUGUCGCAGGGAAGCCGUUAAGCUAGCCGCCUGGGGAGUACGGUCGCAAGGCUGAAUCGUAUGCAGAAAAUUCUGUAUGCGCAGUUCACUUAAAGGAAUUGGCGGGGGACCA